CGAGAGACUGGCUGUAUGUGGUCGGGCGUUGUCCUGCUGUAACAAAACACAUGAAAGGAGAAGUCCUCGCCAUUUACUCCUGAUUGCUGGUCGAAAAUGAUUUUCCAAGAGAUUUGGAUAAGAAUUAAUGUUUACUGUCAUUCCCCUGUCAAUGUAAUGCUCCAAAAUUACAUUGUUCACAUCACAGAAGAGAGUCAGCAAGAGUUUUCCUGUUGAUCGCUGAUUUCGGAGGUUUUUUUUUAUUUUGGCGAUGAGCUAUGGCACCAUUCCUUUUCGUGUAUCUGGUUGAUGACAAUGUUUGUUUCUGGACAAACAUGAAUCACCAUAUGUACUGUCAUCCUGCUAUGAAUUACCAUUGGUUUGACACCUUCACUGCUCAAGAAACGAGUGACUGAUCGCUGAUCUAAUGCGGUGCAUAUUGAUAAUGGGGCGGCCAUAUUGUAACUGAAGUCACUGCUAAUUGUAUGUAGCAAGGUCACUAACGUACCUAGUAGUCAUUGUGUAAGCUUCAACGAACAUCCCUGCCAACUACCGGAUCGAUCCUAUAACUUAUCGAAACUUUACAACACUUUUAAUGUUUUCAUUUGAUUCACCCUCUUAGUAAUAAAAAAUUUACAAUAAAAAUAACACACUGAACUUACUGACUAUUCAAGUCACGUGACCGGGAAGUGGCAGUUAGUAGGGAGAGCAUGAUGUUUUAUGCAAGCCCUGACGAUAACGCAAGACAUUCACGGCCAAGUAACGCGCGAUAUUUUUCGCUUUAUUUCGCUUUAUCGACGCGGCAACAGCUUUUUCAUUAAAUUGACUGACAGAAAUGCUCCUUUUUGAAUUGCGCGUCGAUAUACGUGUAAGGUUUUUUGAAAUUAUUUUGCAUUCCAAGGAUAAUAUGAUAGGAAUAGGAAUUUUCUCCUUAAUUCAAUACUAAUAUUAAAUUAUUUAUUGCUUAAUCAAUGUAUAUAAAAAUAAGAGGUAGAAUUAUUGUGUCGUUUUUGUCGUCAACUUGCAGUGAUGAGUAAUAAUUCAUCAGUGACCCUCAACUAUGGUUAUCAUAUUAUUCAUCUACAGUAGAAGUAACCUUGCUGAUAAUAUGCGUAAUAAUAUCGAGCUGGCUGGUUCAGGUCUGGUUCUGCUCGCACCUGAUCAAUUUCAGGGACUCUGACAUGACAUGACCUCAUGACUGGUUUUGGGCAGCAGGGAUCGACGACUUAACGUGUCCAUCCGAAAAAGGCAACCACCGCCCUAGAGCCAGUGGGCAGCCGAGCGACGACCCUGUCACAGUAGUCAAGUGCCCCCUGUAGCUGUCGUCGUCCCCAGGGGCCCGCGAGAUGGAUGGAGGCGGUGGGAAUGCGAAAUGAAUAACAGACGCCCGGUGAUGGUGAGAAUACAGAUGCUGGACUGAUGAACGUGCCAACUCCACUGAUACCUCACCAUAUUAUUUGUUUUACAUAGAGCAAUCCAAUAUUUUUUAUACACUUAUGAAGUGUUUUAUCAAUAAACAUAAUAAAUAAUAAGUGUAUUUGAACAAACGAAAUUAACACUUGAAAAGUAAUGUUGUCUGUUUAUGUAAAGAGUUUGUCACAUUUUAUACUCUGAAAUUGUUUUAUAUAAUUUCAUUAUAAUUCUCAUAAUGUGCAAUAGAUUGCAUAAAAUUGUUAUUAAAAACUCUAUUUACUAAA
Nilaparvata lugens (brown planthopper) is the source of this 1676-nucleotide long non-coding RNA. RefSeq lists it as uncharacterized. The transcript is spliced from 3 exons. The record is from RefSeq and is a predicted model, not a curated record. NCBI's taxonomy places the organism in Eukaryota, Metazoa, Arthropoda, Insecta, Hemiptera, Delphacidae.